RNAcentral lists this transfer RNA (58 nucleotides) under Gehyra sp. MPH-2011. Its description in RNAcentral is "partial tRNA-Tyr". Lineage: Eukaryota; Metazoa; Chordata; Lepidosauria; Squamata; Gekkonidae. The record is from RNAcentral.
ACCAGGCGGAAGAACUGAUAAAUUCAUAGAGUGGGCUAGAUGGGGAGUCCUAUUACCA